This 4478-nucleotide long non-coding RNA is filed under the name Homo sapiens (human). RNAcentral's name for it is "HSALNT0077143". Lineage: Eukaryota; Metazoa; Chordata; Mammalia; Primates; Hominidae. The record is from RNAcentral.
GUUUGGGUUCAGAGCUAGAGAGUGAAUUUUAGAGAAAAGCAAUAGUUGUGACUCAUUCACUUUCUAAACUUUUACACAUAGUCAUUUACGAUAAUUGUUUUCUUUGCAAUGUAUCUUCUUAAGUCUCCCCCUUUGUAGUGUCCUAAUUACUGGUAGCACUUUUAGUUAUUCUAAUUUAUGCAAUUAAAGGUCUGUGACAAUGAAAACAUUUCCCCAAUUGCAUUUAUACUCUCAGGGUACCAGACCAGAAGAUCAGAUCGUAGAAGUUACUGGAGAAAAAGAUCAGCGGACAGCACUCUUGAACUACAUGCCAGGCCUCUUCUUCCUGGAACUCUAAUGGAUUUAAAUGGCUUAAGAGACGGGAUGAAUUGUUGAAAAUGGUUCUUUCAAAAGACCUCACGGAAGGCCAAAGACAAGACUCACUGAGGCCAAGGUAUACGUGUGCAUGUGCUAAUGUGUGGGGGCAGGGAUUGAUGGAGUCAACGAAAUGUGCCCCAUCUGCAUCUUUGACAGGAAAAAGAGAGAAUGGGUGAAUUCCAAUUUUCAGCAUGAAUCAAGAAUGUCACCGAUGAAGUUUUUGAAUGCUGUGCUCCUAAUCUCAUUUUCCUGUAAGCAUCCUCCAGAGACUUCGGUGAAGGAUGAUGCAAACUGUGUUUCUUCAGCAUGUGAGCACCAUCAGCCAUGAGUGUGGCAGCUCCAGAAUGUCUAUACCAGAGUGGCUGAGAGUCAGCAACUUGGCUGGAAGCUACACUUGAAUAGCAAACAAACCACUUUUACUUAGUUUCCAUGUCUAUUUGGUACCUUGGAGUACAGUGAUGAGUUUUACUAGAUGUGGACUUUCCAGGAAUAUAGCCAAGGUCGUCACCAUGAAAGUAUGAAACUUUAGUCAUUUACCCAAGGGGAUUCAUGGACAUAUAUUAAGAAUUUUCUUUAAUGGACUGUGUUUAUAGAACACCUGGUCAGGACGGAAAUGAGGCCAGGGAACUAAAGGGGUAGAAGUCUGAAGAGGAAUGGUUUUGCAUGGGAAAACUGUGCCAGGUCUAAAACUGGGCUGAACACUAUUUGUCCCCAACUCUCUGGCCCGGUCCUCAUAGUUCUUUCUGUGAUCCCUGCGUGGUGAAUACUCCUUUUCUGCUUUCACUGGCUUUGGCCCCUCAUGGAUAGAAUUAGAUGUUCUGCAUGGCAAACUGUGGGAAGAGAGGCCUCCAGUGUUUAGAGUGAUAUUAUCAUGUGUACCACUACUAUUAUACAUACUAAAGGUAUUCAGACAGGUGGCUUGUCUCUGGGCUUUAUAUAGAUCUCUGUCAAGCUAGAAGAAAAAUGUCACUAAAAUAAUUCAAGACAAUUUUUGUACUUUCCAACGAUGUUCAGGUAACAGCUGAAAAUAUUCUCACUUAUUUGACUUGAGGAAGAAAAUUCGAACGAGGAAAAUCAUCAAGGAUUUGCUAAAGUCCCUUCUGUAAAAUCUUCCUUAAGGAAGUUUAAACACUCCUAUUCUCUCUUCUCUCAUUCUUUUGAACUCACUGCAUGUAUUGAUAUCACUGACUUGGUUUGUUUUCUAGAAUAUAUGUAAAAGUAAGAGUGUGUAUAUAUAACCCAUUAUGUACAUAACAAGAACAGUUCCUUCCAAUAUUCAAAUUUCAUGACUCUAGAUCACUACUGUGCAUUCUAAGAAGGUCAGGGACUCAUGGAGACCAAAGGGUCAAUCCUGGUCAUUGUUGUCUUACGAGAGAAAAACAAGAGCCUUCUCGGGCCCCGUGUUCUCUAGCUCUUGAUGUGGCCUCUUCGGUAUCACUGGCAGCCCCACAGUCUGGUGGUCAGUGUGUCGCAGCAGAGGGUCAUUCACCGAUGCUGCUUAUCCACAGCACCUUUUCUGUGGGGAAUGGGGGCCUCUAUUCUGCUAGUAGACUCAGGUGUGUCACUCUGUGAUACUCUUAAGACUGGGUUCAUUGAGGACAGGUCUCUUUGCUAACAUUCACACAAAGUCAUUGUUUGGAAGCACAGUCCUGCUUCUGAAAUGCUAGGUCUGGAGGAGUUCCAGCAGCAGCCACAUGGGCCCUCUCCUCAGAUCUUGGCUCCAACAUGGGAUACUCAGCAGUGAGGCUAGAGAUCAGAUGUCCUUCAUUCCUUGACCACUAAGCCUAGAGGAUGGAGAGAAAGAAGUGGAACAUCUGCACUCUUCAACCUGAGUCCACUCCAACUCCAUCCCACAAGGUGAGGCAAGUUCCACCAGCCUCUCCAGCCUCCUGUCUAAUAUGAUCAGAGAAAUCCUCUUCUCUCUGGACUCAAGACCCAUCCCUGUUUCCUUCCCUAAGGCGACAGGUGGCUAUAGCACCCUUUGUCUUGGCCCUGCAGCCACCAAUACACAACCAUAAAAAUAAAGUAGUCCAAUUAUUAGCCUUCGCUGUGUCCUGUGUCCUCCUCCCAAGAGAUCUGCGGAACCUUCAUUUAUCACCUGAAUGGGAGCCUCCUCCCCAUGCUUUCCCAGGGGGCAGCCAUAGGACCUCACAGAGAUGUUACUGUGUAUCACUCUAGACUCUUUUCCUAUAUACAUAGAACAAUAAAGGAAUAGAUAGGGACACAUAGACACUUAAGGAAAUAGAAUUAUGUAUGGAGAUAGAAACAUAAAAAUAAAUAGCACAGACAUAUAGAUAUAGAAAACUGGUACUUUUACAUAAAAACUUAAUCUCACCAUAUGUAGUCUAUAAAUUUUUUUUUCACUCAACCUAUGUCAGGGACAGGAGUCCAUACAGGAUUCACACACAGGGAUAUCUCAUUAGAUUAAUAUUCCAUUGUAUGGCAGUACCACAAUUUAUCCAUUCAUAACCCUACUGAUAAACAUUUAGAUUGUUUCCAGUUUUUAUCCACUGCAAACAAUGCUGCAAUGAACAUCCUUAGACAUAGAGAUCUCUAAGCAUAUGUGAAAUAUAUUCUUUUAAUGUUGUAUUUUAAAAUACAUGUCUUGAAUUUCACUUCCUGAGUGGAAAGAUACUUUGAAAAACUUUGUAGAAACUGCCAAAUUUCCCUCUGACAUGCCAUACCAGUUUAUACUCCCAACAACAUAGAGUUUCUUUUCCUCUCAUUAAUACUUUAUGUUAUGAAUAUUUUAAAUAUCUACCAACAUAUUGGGGCAAAAAUAGUAUCCUCUCAUUGGUUUGUCUUUCCUUGAUCAAUAGUUAGAUCUGCUAUAUUUUCAUCAGUGUGUUUAUUUUUCCACAAAUUGUCUGAUUCAUAUUAUUUGCCAAUUUAUUCAUUUGUUUCUUAUUUACUUAUAAAGGCUCUUUUUCUAUUAAAGAUAUGUUAAACAUGUAGAAAUUAUUUUCUCUGUGGUAUCCUUUGCCCUACUGAGGUUUUGAGCUUUCAUGUUAUUGUGUCUGAGAAUCUUAUGUUUUAUGUCAUGGACCUUCGUUUAAUAGAAAGGGUGUCUCACCUAACAAAACCAAAAAUGGCAGUAAUUAAUUUAGUGUUCUUUUUGGUUGAAGAAUUCUAAUGCCAAGGAGUCAUGUUUAAUUCAGGAGCGCUUUUAAAUGAAUUUGCAUUUCAUUUGUCACAAGAUUAGCUACAUACUUCUUUGAAAUAUAAUAAUACAUUUAUGGUUGGAAGUGAUUUAGUCAGUUUAUAGGCAACAUCCUUCCUGUGCAGCAAUGAAUUCAUGAGCCCUGUGAACAUCAUUAUUUUAGAAAAAGAAUUGGAUAUAAUAUAUACUUCUUAUAUAUAGAGAGAUCCAAUCAUAUACCACAUUCAGGAGUGGGGAGGACAAGGGACCACAGAAUCCUGAAACGGCAUCUGAGCCAUCAAAAGAAUGUGCUCACUACAGUUUCAGUGCUGAAUGUUUUAUUUUACUUCAAUUCUUUAAAUAUGGUUUCUCCAUAUACAGGGUGUACGGUAGUUCUAAAAACGCGAAUGACUAAUUAACAAAGUGCAGACCAGGAAAACACAGACUCUGUGAGAUUUACCAAAUUGGCUCCAAGACUACCCUGAAGUCACCCUUUAAACUGAGAAAUAGUUAUAUCUGAUAGACUCUGUUGCUGCAAAUAAAGGGAAAUGGGAUGGCUCUUUCUGAAAAAAGACUUUGGGCCAAUCAAAAAGAUACUAUCAAUGAUUAUUCUAGCAAACACUUUUGUAUCUAAGUGGUUUAUAGACAUAAUCUCAUUUAAAGCAACAACCAUGAGAAAUAGGUAUUUUGAGUGUGCCUCUUUACUACCGAAGCACAAAGAAGAUAAGUAAGACAUUGAAGUGAUUGGAGGAACUCUCUCCAGAGCCUGACGACUUCUCUCUACAGCAGGGAACUGCCUCCAUUGCUGAUGUUGGAUUAAACAGAACAGCCUGUGCAGUUAGUUCAUGGAUUCCAUAAAGGGACUGGACCUUAAUGAAGACGUUCCUGACAUGGGUUUGGGGUAAGAAGGAGAGUCUGUUUGCAAAAUUAUUAUUGAUAAUAACUAGAAUUUAAAUGUAUAUCUUUUCUUGGUUAAUUAAAU